UACGGAGGGGGCUAGCGUUAUCCGGAUUUACUGGGUUUAAAGGGUGCGUAGGCGGGUUUGUAAGUCAGUGGUGAAAUCCCCGAGCUUAACUUGGGAACUGCCAUUGAUACUGCAGAUCUUGAAUUUUCUGGAGGUAAGCGGAAUAUGUCAUGUAGCGGUGAAAUGCUUAGAUAUGACAUAGAACACCCAUUGCGAAGGCAGCUUACUACGGGAAUAUUGACGCUGAGGUGCGAAAGCGUGGGGAGCAAACAGG
Molecule: ribosomal RNA, 253 nt
Filed under: uncultured bacterium
Lineage: Bacteria
Description: partial 16S ribosomal RNA
Rfam family: Bacterial small subunit ribosomal RNA
Source: RNAcentral